GACAGAGGGGGCAAGCGUUGCUCGGAAUUACUGGGCGUAAAGGGCGCGUAGGCGGGAUGGCAAGUCGGUCGUGAAAUCCUUCGGCUCAACCGAAGAACGUCGAUCGAUACUGCUGUUCUUGAGGGUUGCAGAGGAGUCUGGAAUUCCCGGUGUAGCGGUGAAAUGUGUAGAGAUCGGGAGGAACACCGGUGGCGAAGGCGGGUCUCUGGGCAAUUCCUGACGCUGAGGCGCGAAAGCGUGGGGAGCAAACGGG
Molecule: ribosomal RNA, 253 nt
Filed under: uncultured bacterium
Lineage: Bacteria
Description: partial 16S ribosomal RNA
Rfam family: Bacterial small subunit ribosomal RNA
Source: RNAcentral